Molecule: ribosomal RNA, 132 nt
Filed under: Muribaculaceae bacterium
Lineage: Bacteria; Pseudomonadati; Bacteroidota; Bacteroidia; Bacteroidales; Muribaculaceae
Description: partial 23S ribosomal RNA
Rfam family: Bacterial large subunit ribosomal RNA
Source: RNAcentral
CUAAGCACGAAGCCAGCCACAAGAUAAGAUCUCGCUGAGGGUCGUUGGAGACUACGACGUUGAUAGGCUGCAGGUGCAAGGUCGGUGACGGCCUCAGCCGAGCAGUACUAAUCACCCGAAAGCUUUCUGGUG